CCUAGGGGAGGCAGCAGUGAGGAAUAUUGGUCAAUGGGCGGAAGCCUGAACCAGCCAAGUAGCGUGCAGGAUGACGGCCCUAUGGGUUGUAAACUGCUUUUAUACAGGAAUAAAGUUAGCCACGUGUGGUUAUUUGUAGGUACUGUAUGAAUAAGGACCGGCUAAUUCCGUGCCAGCAGCCGCGGUAAU
This 189-nucleotide ribosomal RNA is filed under the name uncultured bacterium. Its description in RNAcentral is "partial 16S ribosomal RNA". It matches the Rfam family "Bacterial small subunit ribosomal RNA", at positions 338 to 524 of the family's 1533-position model. The record is from RNAcentral. RNAcentral also lists the same sequence under 1 other name.